RNAcentral lists this non-coding RNA (272 nucleotides) under Morus notabilis. RNAcentral describes it as "Eukaryotic large subunit ribosomal RNA". It matches the Rfam family "Eukaryotic large subunit ribosomal RNA", at positions 240 to 520 of the family's 3401-position model. The record is from Rfam by way of RNAcentral. Lineage: Eukaryota; Viridiplantae; Streptophyta; Magnoliopsida; Rosales; Moraceae.
CCCUCUACGUAGCUCCUUCGACGAGUCGAGUUGUUUGGGAAUGCAGCUCUAAAUGGGAGGUAAAUUUCUUCUAAAGCUAAAUACCGGCCAGAGACCGAUAGCGCACAAGUAGAGUGAUCGAAAGAUGAAAAGCACUUUGGAAAGAGAGUUAAACAGCACGUGAAAUUGUUGAAAGGGAAGCGCUUGCAACCAGACUUGUCCGCGGUGUUCCGCCGGUCUUCUGACCGGUCUACUCGCCGCGGGCAGGCCAUCAUCGUCUGGGGCCGCCGGAG